UACGAAGGGCCCGAGCGUUGCGCGGAAUUACUGGGCUUAAAGGGUGCGCAGGCGGACCUGCAAGUACCUUGUGAAAUCCCACAGCUCAACUGUGGAAUUGCAGGGUAUACUGCAGGUCUUGAGCCCGGCAGAGGCCAUCGGAACUCUAGGUGGAGCGGUGAAAUGCGUAGAUAUCUAGAGGAACGCCAAAGGUGAAGACAGAUGGCUGGGCCGGUGCUGACGCUCAGGCACGAAAGCGUGGGGAGCGAACGGG
Molecule: unclassified non-coding RNA, 253 nt
Filed under: uncultured Phycisphaeraceae bacterium
Lineage: Bacteria; Pseudomonadati; Planctomycetota; Phycisphaerae; Phycisphaerales; Phycisphaeraceae
Description: contains 16S-23S intergenic spacer region
Rfam family: Bacterial small subunit ribosomal RNA
Source: RNAcentral